RNAcentral lists this ribosomal RNA (273 nucleotides) under uncultured Staphylococcus sp. Its description in RNAcentral is "partial 16S ribosomal RNA". It matches the Rfam family "Bacterial small subunit ribosomal RNA", at positions 505 to 782 of the family's 1533-position model. The record is from RNAcentral. Lineage: Bacteria; Bacillati; Bacillota; Bacilli; Caryophanales; Staphylococcaceae.
GUGCCAGCAGCCGCGGUAAUACGUAGGUGGCAAGCGUUAUCCGGAAUUAUUGGGCGUAAUGCGCGCGUAGGCGGUUUUUUAAGUCUGAUGUGAAAGCCCACGGCUCAACCGUGGAGGGUCAUUGGAAACUGGAAAACUUGAGUGCGGAAGAGGAAAGUGGAAUUCCAUGUGUAGCGGUGAAAUGCGCAGAGAUAUGGAGGACACCAGUGGCGCAAGGCGACUUUCUGUCUUACUGACGCUGAUGUGCGAAAGCUGGGGAUCAACAGGAUUAGA